Molecule: ribosomal RNA, 235 nt
Filed under: uncultured bacterium
Lineage: Bacteria
Description: partial 16S ribosomal RNA
Rfam family: Bacterial small subunit ribosomal RNA
Source: RNAcentral
UGAGUAACCUGCCCUUAACUCUGGGAUAAGCCUGGGAAACUGGGUCUAAUACCGGAUAUGACUCCUCAUCGCAUGGUGGGGGGUGGAAAGCUUUAUUGUGGUUUUGGAUGGACUCGCGGCCUAUCAGCUUGUUGGUGAGGUAAUGGCUCACCAAGGCGACGACGGGUAGCCGGCCUGAGAGGAUGGCCAGCCACAUUGGGACUGAGACACGGCCCAGACUCCGUACGGGAGGNAG